RNAcentral lists this ribosomal RNA (912 nucleotides) under uncultured bacterium. RNAcentral's name for it is "partial 16S ribosomal RNA". It matches the Rfam family "Bacterial small subunit ribosomal RNA", at positions 1 to 809 of the family's 1533-position model. The record is from RNAcentral.
UGACNAACACGACGCCCGUNCUUANGCCUUUAGCAUUUACCGUGUGGUUCUAUAGAGANCUCACACUGGACCGCUCGUNUUGACAGCUUAACACAUGCAAGUCGAGCGGGGAAGGGUAGCUUGCUACCUGACCUAGCGGCGGACGGGUGAGUAAUGCUUAGGAAUCUGCCUAUUAGUGGGGGACAACAUCUCGAAAGGGAUGCUAAUACCGCAUACGUCCUACGGGAGAAAGCAGGGGAUCUUCGGACCUUGCGCUAAUAGAUGAGCCUAAGUCGGAUUAGCUAGUUGGUGGGGUAAAGGCCUACCAAGGCGACGAUCUGUAGCGGGUCUGAGAGGAUGAUCCGCCACACUGGGACUGAGACACGGCCCAGACUCCUACGGGAGGCAGCAGUGGGGAAUAUUGGACAAUGGGGGGAACCCUGAUCCAGCCAUGCCGCGUGUGUGAAGAAGGCCUUAUGGUUGUAAAGCACUUUAGGCGAGGAGGAGGCUACUUUAGUUAAUACCUAGAGAUAGUGGACGUUACUCGCAGAAUAAGCACCGGCUAACUCUGUGCCAGCAGCCGCGGUAAUACAGCAGGGUGCAAGCGUUAAUUCGGAUUUACUGGGCGUAAAGCGCGCGUAGGCGGCUAANUUAAAGUCCACAUGUGGAAUCCCGAGCUUAACUUUGGGGAAAUUGCGAUUCCGAUACUGGGUUAGCUAAAAUNUUGGACAAGGAUUGGUCAGNAAUUCCCAGGUGUAAACCGGUGAAAUGCGUUAAGANCNGGAGGGANACCGAUGCCNAGNCGCNNUUGGCUAAACAUUACCUAGUGCGAAGCUUGGACCAACCGGNUAAAACUGGUNCNCGACCGAAGAGUUAAACGGAGACUAANCGUGNUUAUGGNCCANCAAAAACCCUGGGAAGGGCAGCAAACAG